This 426-nucleotide ribosomal RNA is filed under the name uncultured Pseudomonadaceae bacterium. RNAcentral's name for it is "bacterial SSU rRNA". It matches the Rfam family "Bacterial small subunit ribosomal RNA", at positions 356 to 774 of the family's 1533-position model. The record is from RNAcentral. Lineage: Bacteria; Pseudomonadati; Pseudomonadota; Gammaproteobacteria; Pseudomonadales; Pseudomonadaceae.
GGGGAAUAUUGGACAAUGGGCGAAAGCCUGAUCCAGCCAUGCCGCGUGUGUGAAGAAGGUCUUCGGAUUGUAAAGCACUUUAAGUUGGGAGGAAGGGCUGCAAGUUAAUACCUUGUAGUUUUGACGUUACCAACAGAAUAAGCACCGGCUAACUUCGUGCCAGCAGCCGCGGUAAUACGAAGGGUGCAAGCGUUAAUCGGAAUUACUGGGCGUAAAGCGCGCGUAGGUGGUUUGGUAAGAUGGAUGUGAAAUCCCCGGGCUCAACCUGGGAACUGCAUCCAUAACUGCCUGACUAGAGUACGGUAGAGGGUGGUGGAAUUUCCUGUGUAGCGGUGAAAUGCGUAGAUAUCAGGAGGAACACCGAUGGCGAAGGCAGGUCACUGGGCCGCAACUGACGCUGAGGAGCGAAAGCAUGGGGAGCGAACA